This 253-nucleotide ribosomal RNA is filed under the name uncultured bacterium. Its description in RNAcentral is "partial 16S ribosomal RNA". It matches the Rfam family "Bacterial small subunit ribosomal RNA", at positions 524 to 776 of the family's 1533-position model. The record is from RNAcentral.
UACGUAGGGGGCAAGCGUUGUCCGGAUUUAUUGGGCGUAAAGCGCUCGCAGGUGGUUCGUCGCGUCGUGCGUGAAAGACCCCGGCUCAACUGGGGGAGGUCGUGCGAUACGGGCGAACUGGAGGCCAGUAGGGGGAUGCGGAAUUCCGGGUGUAGUGGUGGAAUGCGUAGAGAUCCGGAGGAACACCAGCGGCGAAGGCGGCAUCCUGGACUGGUCCUGACACUCAUGCACGAAAGCGUGGGGAGCAAACAGG